GAUCAUUAUUGAAAUAAAUCUGAUGAGUUGCUGCUGGUUCUCUAGGGAGCAUGUGCACACUUGUCAUCUUUAUAUCUCCACCUGUGCACCUUUUGUAGACCUGGAUAACUUUCUGAGUGCCUAGCGCUCAGGUUUGAGGAUUGACUUCUUCUCACGUUUCCAGGUCUAUGUUUCUUCAUAUACUCCAAUGUAUGUUAUAGAAUGUAAUAAAAUGGCCUUUGUGCCUAUAAACCUAUACAACUUUCAGCAACGGAUCUCUUGGCUCUCGCAUCGAUGAAGAACGCAGCGAAAUGCGAUAAGUAAUGUGAAUUGCAGAAUUCAGUGAAUCAUCGAAUCUUUGAACGCACCUUGCGCUCCUUGGUAUUCCGAGGAGCAUGCCUGUUUGAGUGUCAUUAAUAUAUAUCAACCUCUUCAACUUUGUUGAGUGUUGGAUGUGGGGGCUUUUAUUUUGCUGGUCUCUCUCUGAGGUCAGCUCCCCUGAAAUGCAUUAGCGGAACAAUUUGCAGACCGUUCAUUGGUGUGAUAACUAUCUACGCUAUUUGACGUGAAGCAGUUCAGCUUAUACCCGUCCGUUGACUUGGACAAAUUUUUCAUUAAUGUGACCUCAAAUCAGGUAGG
This 618-nucleotide ribosomal RNA is filed under the name uncultured Cortinarius. RNAcentral's name for it is "eukaryotic LSU rRNA". The stretch from base 239 to 392 matches the Rfam family "5.8S ribosomal RNA". Lineage: Eukaryota; Fungi; Basidiomycota; Agaricomycetes; Agaricales; Cortinariaceae. The record is from RNAcentral.